AACGCUGGCGGCGUGCUUAACACAUGCAAGUCGAACGGAGUACGUUUUCGGAUGUAACUUAGUGGCGAACGGGUGAGUAACGCGUGAGGAACCUGCCCUUAGGUGGGGGACAACAGUUGGAAACGACUGCUAAUACCGCAUAUGAGAUAUUCUGAAAUGGAUAUCUUGAAAACUCCGGUGCCUAAGGAUGAGCCUGUGCCUGAUUAGCUAGUUGGUGGGGUAACGGCUCACCAAGGCGACGAUCAGUAGCCGGUCUGAGAGGAUGAACGGCCACAUUGGGACUGAGAUACGGCCCAGACUCCUACGGGAGGCAGCAGUGGGGAAUAUUGGGCAAUGGGGGAAACCCUGACCCAGCAACGCCGCGUGAAGGAAGAAGGCCUUCGGGUUGUAAACUUCUUUUACCAGGGACGAAGAACGUGACGGUACCUGGAGAAAAAGCAACGGCUAACUACGUG
Molecule: ribosomal RNA, 455 nt
Filed under: uncultured bacterium
Lineage: Bacteria
Description: bacterial SSU rRNA
Rfam family: Bacterial small subunit ribosomal RNA
Source: RNAcentral